UACGUAGGGGGCAAGCGUUGUCCGGAAUCAUUGGGCGUAAAGAGCGUGUAGGCGGCCUGGUAAGUCCGCUGUGAAAGUCCAGGGCUCAACCCUGGAAUGCCGGUGGAAACUGUCAGGCUCGAGUCCGGAAGAGGCGAGUGGAAUUCCUGGUGUAGCGGUGAAAUGCGCAGAUAUCAGGAGGAACACCAAUGGCGAAGGCAGCUCGCUGGGCAGUAACUGACGCUGAGGAGCGAAAGCGUGGGGAGCGAACAGG
RNAcentral lists this ribosomal RNA (253 nucleotides) under uncultured bacterium. RNAcentral's name for it is "partial 16S ribosomal RNA". It matches the Rfam family "Bacterial small subunit ribosomal RNA", at positions 524 to 776 of the family's 1533-position model. The record is from RNAcentral.